Long non-coding RNA from Mya arenaria, 854 nucleotides. RefSeq lists it as uncharacterized. The record is from RefSeq and is a predicted model, not a curated record. The transcript is spliced from 4 exons. NCBI's taxonomy places the organism in Eukaryota, Metazoa, Mollusca, Bivalvia, Myida, Myidae.
AAUCUUAGAAAAUCGGUGAACCAGUCUAUUAUCUGAUUACAUGACGUGUACGGGUCAGAUGCAAGCGUCCAGUAGAUUAGGGAUAUCGAGGUCAACACGCUGGCGGUUGGGGAAAGAUUUAGGCGAAUGUGCGGUCAAGGUCAAAAUUGCGAGAGGCUGAAUCGAAGUGAAAUACCGCAACAAAAACGUUCGAUUUGGACAUUAACGCGUCUAACUGAAUGAGUCACAAUGUUUCUACCACAAGAGUUGUAAAUAUUGAACAGAAAGGGCUUCAUCUUCAAGAUGAAAACUGCAAAAAAUGGCCACCAACAAUAAUGGGCCAGGACUGAGGAGUUCCAAGAAAUGAGUAUUCUUCAGCCCACAAAUAUCAGUGCUGCCCCGCUGCCCAAAACCAGAGUGUGGCAACAAGUAAAUGGACCUUGACAAAUUUCCUCUAUGUUAGAGCCAGUCCCUUACACAAGUGGCCUACUUUUGCACAGCUGAGGUUGUAAUCAAACACAGCAGUAGGUAUGAAAUGCGGAAACUGUUCCAACUUGAUCUUCAACAGUUGAGUUACUCCUCAUCACAAUACCUGAACUGAAAACAAUCGGUGAUGAUCCUGCACUUCACUUCUACCUCACAGUGCUCUUCCCUAUAAACGCUAGAGGAAAGUUUGAAAAUGAAAAACUUGUCAUUGCAAGUGUGAAAGGACCAAUUGAUUCUUAACGAAACAACCUGCCUCAAUGCUUUAGCUGACACUACAUCAAGUCAACACAAGGCAAUUUGUUUUUCUCGCAACCUGACCGGUAUGUUGAAUCUGAUCAAAAUUGUACACAACCACUGGUCAAGAAUAUAGAAAUACAAGUUGUAUGAUC